RNAcentral lists this long non-coding RNA (266 nucleotides) under Arabidopsis thaliana (thale cress). RNAcentral describes it as "long non-coding RNA (ATHA_LNC000057)". The record is from RNAcentral. Lineage: Eukaryota; Viridiplantae; Streptophyta; Magnoliopsida; Brassicales; Brassicaceae.
UCCCUGAUCCCCUCCUCGGCCACCACAACCUCCUCAUCGACGCUUUUCAGCACGACGGGAGGCGCGGCAGCCACAGGGGCGGCGGCGGCGGACGAGGCUGCGGCUGCAGAUGCGGCGGAAGAAACCGCAGAUGCAGACGAGGUAGCAGCAGCCGCCGCCGCCGAAGGUAACGCGGAGGAUGGGUUGUUGGACCACUUAGCCGCCACGAUCUGUGCAACACCGAUGUUGCUACAGUUUCUACGGGCUUUAAUGCUCAGCUGACGGAC